UGUGGGGGAUAACCAUUGGAAACGAUGGCUAAUACCGCAUAAUGCCUACGGGCCAAAGAGGGGGACCUUCGGGCCUCUCGCGUCAGGAUAUGCCUAGGUGGGAUUAGCUAGUUGGUGAGGUAAGGGCUCACCAAGGCGACGAUCCCUAGCUGGUCUGAGAGGAUGAUCAGCCACACUGGAACUGAGACACGGUCCAGACUCCUACGGGAGGCAGCAGUGGGGAAUAUUGCACAAUGGGCGCAAGCCUGAUGCAGCCAUGCCGCGUGUAUGAAGAAGGCCUUCGGGUUGUAAAGUACUUUCAGUCGUGAGGAAGGCGGCGUCGUUAAUAGCGGCGUUGUUUGACGUUAGCGACAGAAGAAGCACCGGCUAACUCCGUGCCAGCAGCCGCGGUAAUACGGAGGGUGCGAGCGUUAAUCGGAAUUACUGGGCGUAAAGCGCAUGCAGGUGGUUUGUUAAGUCAGAUGUGAAAGCCCGGGGCUCAACCUCGGAAUAGCAUUUGAAACUGGCAGACUAGAGUACUGUAGAGGGGGGUAGAAUUUCAGGUGUAGCGGUGAAAUGCGUAGAGAUCUGAAGGAAUACCGGUGG
Molecule: ribosomal RNA, 585 nt
Filed under: Vibrio alginolyticus
Lineage: Bacteria; Pseudomonadati; Pseudomonadota; Gammaproteobacteria; Vibrionales; Vibrionaceae
Description: bacterial SSU rRNA
Rfam family: Bacterial small subunit ribosomal RNA
Source: RNAcentral